AAGCUUCGCUUAUCCAAGCUUCUGGAUUAUCCAAGCCAUUUUUGUAGUCAAUGUUUUCAAUAUAUUGUGAUAUUUUGGUGCUAAAUUUGUAAAUACAGUAAUUACAACAUAAUUACUGCGUAUUGAACUACUUUUUCUGUCAAAUUUGUUGUAUAACAUGAUGUUUUGGUGCUUAAUUUGAAAAUCAUAACCUAAUUUGAUGUUUAAUAGGCUUUUCCUUAAUGCCUCCUUAUUAUCCACAUAUUCACUUAUCCAACAUAAACGGGCCGGCAGAAUGUUGGAUAAGUGAAUAUGUUGAAUAAUAAGGAGGCAUUAAGGAAAAGCCUAUUAAACAUCAAAUUAGGUUAUGAUUUUGCAAAUUAAGCACCAAAACAUCAUGUUAUACAACAAAUUUGACAGAAAAAGUAAUUCAAUACGCAGUAAUACUAUGUAGUAAGUACUGUAUUUACGAAUUUAGCACCAAAAUAUCAUGAUGUAUUGAAAACAUUGACUACAAAAAUGCGUUGGAUAUUCCAAAACAUUGGAUAAGCGAGUGUUGGAUAAGUGAGACUCUACUGUAGUUGGACACCCUAUUCAGCACUAACAUGUCUGUUAAUGCAUCGUGAUUCAAUCUCAGAAUUUAAAGAACUAAGAAAUAAAAGGACUGGCCUUGGGUAGAUGAAUCUCUCAGUUCUUUUUCCAUGAUUUUUUAAAAUCCAAAGCUCUUUCUACUUUGAACAUUGAUCGAUUUUCUCCAGAAAUAAACUGAAAUAAAUUUCUUAGGCAUCCCUAUCAAAGUCUCAAGUAGGCCUUUCUGCAGAGCUUGGGAAAGUUA
Molecule: long non-coding RNA, 814 nt
Filed under: Anolis carolinensis (green anole)
Lineage: Eukaryota; Metazoa; Chordata; Lepidosauria; Squamata; Anolidae
Description: lncRNA (ENSACAG00000036445.1)
Source: RNAcentral